Long non-coding RNA from Drosophila virilis, 1594 nucleotides. RefSeq lists it as uncharacterized. The record is from RefSeq and is a predicted model, not a curated record. Lineage: Eukaryota; Metazoa; Arthropoda; Insecta; Diptera; Drosophilidae.
UGCGGGUAAUUGUAAACGAUUAAACAUAGUAUCGAUGCCUGCACACAAGUAUCGAGUACAUAGUAUGCCCCUCACACAACUGACGUUGCGUCGAGUGCGCCAGUUCGUAGAAUUUGUGGCGAUUUUCUAGGAAACGAGCGCCAGAGCAACGUGCCUCGACAUGUUGCUCCGAUCAUCAGCGGGUGGGUCUGCGGGCAGCGGAGUGGAGAAGUGGAGAAUAGGAGAAGAGGAGCCGGGGGCAGUCGGCUGUAGAAAUGACGCAAUGUUUUUGAAAAUCAUCAACAGGCCCCAAGCAGCUGUCGUUUGUUUGGGGGCUUUUGUUUUGCUCGUCGCGUUUCGUUUUGGUUUCGCUUCGCGAAGCUGAAAGCAACAUCAAAUUGUAUACAUAUAAAAACUAAUGAUAAAUUCUACACACACACACACACACACACACACACACACACACACAAAGGGGCAGACUGCGAGGCUUUAACUUGAGCUCUGGGGCCCCCAUGUCAACAAUCAACAGUUUGCCAUAAAUUAUUUUCGCAAACAGUUCGCGCCAACCGAUGCGGCCCCAGGGAGCCAGCACACACACACACACACACACACACACACACACAAACGUUUGCAGUAUUGUACAAUAACAGUGUUGAUAAGCGACCAUAUGCACACACACACAAAUUCUAUGUACAUGCCCCUACGAUUGUCACACAAUCAAGCAUUGAGCAAGUUCCCCACCCGCGCCCCACUCUACGCAGCUCUCGAGUUUGAUAAAAAAAAAGUAUAUAUAUAUGUAUGUGGAGCUAUAUAUCUGUACUAUAUAAGGCGGGGUAAAUAAAACAGAGGCGUUAAGAACCCUGCUGGUGUCAGUUAGUAUUGGGAAAGGUUGGAAAGUGUUGUAAAUCAAUUAGCCAAAAGCGUUUCACAACAACAACAACAAUAACAAUAACUAGAGGAAGAAGAAGAUAGAGAAAAAACUAAGUCAAGAAACUGCGUCGCAGACGAUGCUCAACAAUGUUGUCCAAGUGCAUUCUGAAAGGGCAGCACGAGUUGAGACUGCGAAUGGAACUUGGCUCCGAAGGGGGAGGGGUAUCCAGUCUGGUUGUCGUUGUCGUUGUUGUUGUUGUUGUUGUUGUUGCAUUACCAAUAUGAUUUAUGGCUAAACAAAAUGCACAAAUGCUGUUACCAGCCAUUACGAUAGUCGUCUGCGAUUGCUGGCUCGUAAAUUACGAGCUACGAGGCGACUUCCCCCCCUCCCCCUUCCACGCUCAACAAAGUUCCGGAUGUUGCAACAACAGCUAAGCGAGGCAGAAGGCGUUGCUGUUGCAGCUAAUUUGUUGCUCCAAAGGGACAGCGGACAGCAGGUUUAAUGGAAAGCCAAGGAGGAACCCAAUAAUACGACUACCCUCAAUUAUUUAUCAUAAUUAAUAAACUAUAUAGAUUCAUCAAAAGCAAUAACUAUAGGACUAAGGACAAAUAACUGGAGGAUAAGUUAGACCAACAUAUAAUUACUAGAAUUCUCAUCGAUGAAAAACUCUAUUCCAAUACAGGAACAUGAAAAUUAGUAGCAGAAACAUAAAUCAAUUAAACAAAAGUAUUCAGCAAUAUCCGA